RNAcentral lists this long non-coding RNA (204 nucleotides) under Castor canadensis (American beaver). RNAcentral's name for it is "Vax2os1 conserved region 3 (ENSCCNG00000026070.1)". It matches the Rfam family "Vax2os1 conserved region 3". Lineage: Eukaryota; Metazoa; Chordata; Mammalia; Rodentia; Castoridae. The record is from RNAcentral.
UUUCUGUGCACAGUCUCGCCAGGGUCGCCUUCUUCGUGCACUCUGAUUAUUGAUCCAGCUGAACCAGUAGGAGCGCCGAGCUGCGCUUCCCUGGGGAUGGAGGGGGUGGGGAGAUGGGUAGGCUACGGUGAUGGUGAGGGGAGGGGAGAUUGAUAAACAUUAAGAGAUGGUUGUAGGGCGCUAUUCAGUACCCCGGAGCUGCCC